GUAGAUAUACUAUAAUACUGAAGAUGGGAUCUGUUGAAUUCCGAAAAGUUUAUUGUUUGGAAUUAAGCAUAAAGCUACACAAUGGGCUAUCUGUGCUCUGCCCACCACGGGUAUC
Limulus polyphemus (Atlantic horseshoe crab) is the source of this 115-nucleotide long non-coding RNA. RefSeq lists it as uncharacterized. The transcript is spliced from 3 exons. Lineage: Eukaryota; Metazoa; Arthropoda; Merostomata; Xiphosura; Limulidae. The record is from RefSeq and is a predicted model, not a curated record.